RNAcentral lists this non-coding RNA (19 nucleotides) under Arabidopsis thaliana (thale cress). The record is from RNAcentral. Lineage: Eukaryota; Viridiplantae; Streptophyta; Magnoliopsida; Brassicales; Brassicaceae.
AGCUUGUGGAGAACUCUAA